Molecule: ribosomal RNA, 832 nt
Filed under: Derotettix mendosensis
Lineage: Eukaryota; Metazoa; Arthropoda; Insecta; Hemiptera; Cicadidae
Description: SSU rRNA
Rfam family: Eukaryotic small subunit ribosomal RNA
Source: RNAcentral
CAUUUGCCAAGUAUGUUUCCGUUAAUCAAGAACGAAAGUUAGAGGUUCGAAGGCGAUCAGAUACCGCCCUAGUUCUAACCAUAAACGAUGCCAGCCAGCGAUCCGCCGAAGUUCCUCCGAUGACUCGGCGGGCAGCUUCCGGGAAACCAAAGCUUUUGGGUUCCGGGGGAAGUAUGGUUGCAAAGCUGAAACUUAAAGGAAUUGACGGAAGGGCACCACCAGGAGUGGAGCCUGCGGCUUAAUUUGACUCAACACGGGAAACCUCACCAGGCCCGGACACCGGAAGGAUUGACAGAUUGAGAGCUCUUUCUUGAUUCGGUGGGUGGUGGUGCAUGGCCGUUCUUAGUUGGUGGAGCGAUUUGUCUGGUUAAUUCCGGUAACGAACGAGACUCUAGCCUGCUAAAUAGACGAUUUCCGGUAUCCACAAUAGUGCUACCGGCGAAAUCAAUAUCUUCUUAGAGGGACAGGCGGCUUUCAGCCGCACGAAACUGAGCAAUAACAGGUCUGUGAUGCCCUUAGAUGUCCUGGGCCGCACGCGCGCUACACUGAAGGAAUCAGCGUGUACACCCUGGCCGAAAGGCCCGGGCAACCCGUUGAACCUCCUUCGUGCUAGGGAUUGGGGCUUGCAAUUGUUCCCCAUGAACGAGGAAUUCCCAGUAAGCGCGAGUCAUAAGCUCGCGUUGAUUACGUCCCUGCCCUUUGUACACACCGCCCGUCGCUACUACCGAUUGAAUGAUUUAGUGAGGUCUUCGGACUGGUGCGCGGCGACCGCGCCCGCGCGGCCGCCGAUGCCACCGGGAAGAUGACCGAACUUGAUCAUUUAGAGGAAGUA